UACGGAGGGUGCUAGCGUUGUUCGGAAUUACUGGGCGUAAAGGGCGCGUAGGCGGCCGUUUGCGUCGGAUGUGAAAGCCCGGGGCUCAACCUCGGAACGGCAUUCGAUACGGGACGGCUGGAGACCGGGAGAGGAGAGUGGAAUAGCCAGUGUAGAGGUGAAAUUCGUAGAUAUUCGCAAGAACACCAGUGGCGAAGGCGGCUCACUGGCCCGAUACUGACGCUGAGGUGCGAAAGCGUGGGGAGCAAACAGG
Molecule: ribosomal RNA, 253 nt
Filed under: uncultured bacterium
Lineage: Bacteria
Description: partial 16S ribosomal RNA
Rfam family: Bacterial small subunit ribosomal RNA
Source: RNAcentral